RNAcentral lists this long non-coding RNA (1010 nucleotides) under Notechis scutatus (mainland tiger snake). RNAcentral describes it as "lncRNA (ENSNSUG00000005971.1)". Lineage: Eukaryota; Metazoa; Chordata; Lepidosauria; Squamata; Elapidae. The record is from RNAcentral.
CCCGUGUAAAUAUAUAUUUUUCCUCCAGCAGCUGCAACCUUGCUCCCAUCCACCCCUAUAACACUCCUGGACACACACACACACCCCACGGAGAGAGUCUGCUGUGGCACCAAGGACCCUUUCCUGCACUCACACCGGCCACGAAAGCGGAGCCUAACGCCUGAAAUCCGUCUCCGUACAUCAAAGGGUGCAAUCAAAGGGGCUUCUCCAAUUCAACUUUCUCCUGGGCGAAAAAGGCAGCCGGGGAAGCGGUUCUGAGGAGGGGGCGACGAAGGCAAGGAAGACAAACCCCCCCAAUCUCUCUCCCUCCCUCUGUCUUUCUCUCUCUCUCUCACACACACACACAUCUCUCUCUCUCUACCUCUCUCUUUCUUCCUCCCUCCCCCUCUCCCUCCCUUUCUCUUUCUUUCUCUCUCUUUCUCUCUGCACUUUCUCUCUUUUUUCUUUCUUUCUCUCUCUCACACACAAACACUCACACACAACCCUCUCACUCACUGUCUAGCUAGCUCUCUCUCUCCCUCACUCUUUCUUUCUCUCUUUUUCACCCUCUCUCUCUCACUCUUUCUGCAUCCCUCUCUCUUUCUCUCUCCACUCUCUUUCUCCACUCUCUCUCUCUCCCUUUCUCUUUCUUUCUCCCUCCCUCCCUCUUUCCCUCCCUCCAUUUAUCUAUCUAUCUUUUCCCCUUCUUUCUCACUCACUUUCUCCUUCACUCCCUCCAUCCAUCUCUCUCCCUUUCUCUUUCUUUCUCACUCCCUCCAUUUAUCUAUCUAUCUUUUGUUUCCCUCUCUCUCUCUCACUCACUUUUUCCCUCCCUCCCUCCCUCCAUCUCUCUUUCUCUUUCUUUCUCUCUCCCUCCAUCCCUCCAUCCAUCCAUCUCUCUUUCUCUUUCUUUCUCUCCCUCUCUCCCUCUCUCCAUUUAUCUAUCUUUUCUUCCCCCCCUCUCUCUCUCACUUUUUCCGUCCCUCCCUCCCUCCCUCCCUCUCUCUUUCUCUUUCUUUCUCUCUCCCUCC